ACUUUUGACGUUACCUUUAGAAGAAGCACCGGCUAACUCCGUGCCAGCAGCCGCGGUAAUACGGAGGGUGCGAGCGUUAAUCGGAAUUACUGGGCGUAAAGCGCGCGUAGGCGGUUUGUUAAGUCGGAUGUGAAAGCCCCGGGCUCAACCUGGGAACUGCACCCGAUACUGGCCGACUUGAGUGCGAGAGAGGGAGGUAGAAUUCCAUGUGUAGCGGUGAAAUGCGUAGAUAUAUGGAGGAAUACCGGUGGCGAAGGCGGCCUCCUGGCUCGACACUGACGCUGAGGUGCGAAAGCGUGGGUAGCAAACAGGAUUAGAUACCCUGGUAGUCCACGCCGUAAACGAUGUCUACUAGCCGUUGGGGAACUUGAUUCUUUAGUGGCGCAGCUAACGCAAUAAGUAGACCGCCUGGGGAGUACGGCCGCAAGGUUAAAACUCAAAUGAAUUGACGGGGGCCCGCACAAGCGGUGGAGCAUGUGGUUUAAUUCGAUGCAACGCGAAGAACCUUACCAGGUCUUGACAUCCUGAGAACUUAGCAGAGAUGCUUUGGUGCCUUCGGGAACUCAGAGACAGGUGCUGCAUGGCUGUCGUCAGCUCGUGUUGUGAAAUGUUGGGUUAAGUCCCGUAACGAGCGCAACCCCUGUCCUUAGUUGCCAGCACGUAAUGGUGGGAACUCUAAGGAGACUGCCGGUGACAAACCGGAGGAAGGUGGGGACGACGUCAAGUCAUCAUGGCCCUUACGACCUGGGCUACACACGUGCUACAAUGGGAAGUACAAAGGGUUGCGAAGCGGCGACGUGGAGCCAAUCCCAUAAAACUUUUCGUAGUCCGGAUUGAAGUCUGCAACUCGACUUCAUGAAGUCGGAAUCGCUAGUAAUCGCGAAUCAGAAUGUCGCGGUGAAUACGUUCCCGGGCCUUGUACACACCGCCCGUCACACCAUGGGAGUGGGUUGCUCCAGAAGUGGUUAGUCUAACCUUCGGGGGGACGAUCACCACGGAGUGAUUCAUGACUGGGGUGAAGUCGUAACAAGGUAGCCCUAGGGGAACCUGGGGCUGGAUCACCUCCUUAAACGAA
This is a ribosomal RNA of 1075 nucleotides. It matches the Rfam family "Bacterial small subunit ribosomal RNA", at positions 465 to 1533 of the family's 1533-position model.